RNAcentral lists this ribosomal RNA (451 nucleotides) under uncultured bacterium. RNAcentral's name for it is "partial 16S ribosomal RNA". It matches the Rfam family "Bacterial small subunit ribosomal RNA", at positions 29 to 523 of the family's 1533-position model. The record is from RNAcentral.
AACGAACGCUGGCGGCAGGCUUAACACAUGCAAGUCGAACGGUUGUAGCAAUACAGCAGUGGCAGACGGGUGAGUAACACGUGGGAACCUUCCUAGAGGUACGGAACAACGCAGGGAAACUUGCGCUAAUACCGUACACGCUCGAGAGAGGAAAGAUUUAUCGCCUUUAGACGGGCCCGCGUCGGAUUAGCUAGUUGGUGAGGUAACGGCUCACCAAGGCGACGAUCCGUAGCUGAUCUGAGAGGAUGAUCAGCCACACUGGGACUGAGACACGGCCCAGACUCCUACGGGAGGCAGCAGUGGGGAAUCUUGGACAAUGGGCGCAAGCCUGAUCCAGCCAUGCCGCGUGAGUGAAGAAGGCCUUCGGGUUGUAAAGCUCUUUUGUCAGGGACGAUAAUGACGGUACCUGAAGAAUAAGCCCCGGCAAACUUCGUGCCAGCAGCCGCCGUAA